UCCGCUUUCUGUUUUUUCAUAGAUUUUUUCUUAUUUUCAGUAGAUUUUUUCUUAGAAGAAGUCUGCUCCACAGUAAGUAUAGAACCCCUUAAACUCUUCAAGUAUUCUCUGUUGUAACCAGUAUAUUGACCAACUCGUAAAUGGUGCACUAAAUUUAUUCAUAUGGAAGUUUACAAUAAACUGUCCAUAUGAAUUAGUCAAGGACUGCAGGAUCAGAUCAACCUGCAAGUCCUUAUCCAUAGACAAUUUGAGCUUCUCAAGCUCCUCGAGGUCCUUGAUCAUUAUCAGACAAUGAUCAUGGACUAACUGCCCAUCACGCAUCUUUGUUUUGAAUAGUUGCUUGGAUACUUCGAAGUGGGCUGCAUGGCUCUGCUUACUAUACAACUCUUGUAGGUAAGUCAGCAUCUGUCAGGCAGUAGUCAGGUCUUUGUGUUGACAUUGCAAUUCGUUAGACAUUGACGCCAGCACAUAGCACCUAACUUUGUUGUCAUUAUCCAACCACUUCUCAUGAGAUGCUCUUUGAUCAGUGGUAGGACAGGCUGGAAGAGGGAGAAGGUCCUGGUCAAAGACAUAGGCCAAUUUCUCAGAACUCAAAAUAAUUUUUAAGUUUUGGAGCCAAUCCUUAAAAUUUGGUCUGAUCAACCUAUUGGUUUCUAGUAUUCUAGCUAGGAGAUUUGAAAUAGAUAUUGUUCCUGCAGAGAGUCAAAAUUUUUAGUUAGAUUUUGUAAUUGAUUUAACCAAUUUAUUUUAAAGAUUUUAUUUUUAAAAUAAAAUAGGGCUCCCACUAUUUUUUUGAUUCUCCUCACUUCUUUAGAAGAUAAGCGAAGACAUCCACGAUUAAGAGUCUUAAGUGGGUGCUGCAGUCUCACCAAUUGACUCACCACCUCCUCUAACAGUUAUUGAUAUUGGGUCAAUUGACAAGUAGACAACUCUUAUCCAGUAUUUCUCCAAACACGUUGCAGCCAACUUCAGUCUCUAAUUCAUAAGCCUCAUCGUAUCUGAAAUAUUGGCCCACUACUUAGUUAAGUCAGAACCACCAUUUACG
Molecule: long non-coding RNA, 1045 nt
Filed under: Elaeis guineensis (African oil palm)
Lineage: Eukaryota; Viridiplantae; Streptophyta; Magnoliopsida; Arecales; Arecaceae
Description: long non-coding RNA (EGUI_LNC012221)
Source: RNAcentral